CCUACGGGGGGCAGCAGUGAGGAAUAUUGGUCAAUGGACGAGAGUCUGAACCAGCCAAGUAGCGUGAAGGAUGACUGCCCUAUGGGUUGUAAACUUCUUUUAUAUGGGAAUAAAAUGUUCCACGUGUGGGAUUUUGUAUGUACCAUAUGAAUAAGGAUCGGCUAACUCCGUGCCAGCAGCCGCGGUAAUACGGAGGAUCCGAGCGUUAUCCGGAUUUAUUGGGUUUAAAGGGAGCGUAGGUGGAUUGUUAAGUCAGUUGUGAAAGUUUGCGGCUCAACCGUAAAAUUGCAGUUGAAACUGGCAGUCUUGAGUACAGUAGAGGUGGGCGGAAUUCGUGGUGUAGCGGUGAAAUGCUUAGAUAUCACGAAGAACUCCGAGUGCGAAGGCAGUUCACUGGACUGCAACUGACACUGAGGCUCGAAAGUGUGGGUAUCAAACAGGAUUAGAUACCCCUGUAGUC
This 460-nucleotide ribosomal RNA is filed under the name uncultured bacterium. RNAcentral describes it as "partial 16S ribosomal RNA". It matches the Rfam family "Bacterial small subunit ribosomal RNA", at positions 338 to 795 of the family's 1533-position model. The record is from RNAcentral.